GCAGUUGGAAUAUGUGGUUAUUGAGUUGACUAGUCUGUCUAUAGGUGUGAAUUCUAAUUAGUUUAAUUUAGAAUCUGAGACAUAUGAUUAUAUUCACUGUGACAUUUCUUAAGGGGCACAGUGCGUGGGUGUAUGUGAAUAGUGUGACGAUCCACAGUCCACUUGUGACUGUUAAGUCAUUUUUCGGGUUCCAGUUUGCUUUUUAGAUUUGAUUUUUCUGAACUCUGACUAGGCUUAGGUAAGCCCAAGAGCAGCUCGGUUUCAAGCUGAAACUGCUCUCACAUUACAGUUGAUUGUGCAAGCAAAUUAUUGAGAAACAUAAUUGUGUUUCCUUGUGACAGUGACCUUUAGUUAUCAUAAUCACUGUCACAGUGAUUAUGUGACAGUUUUUUUUUUUUCGCCUGUCCUGUUUGGCUCUUUUGCCAUCAGAAUUAUUGUCUAAAGGCAAAGAAAGAUGCCCAACGGAUUUACUUUACCAAAUUGACCAUCCCAGCCUUGCCAUAAUGGUCCAUUUGAUUCACCUUUUAUUGUUUAUUUUAUUUUCACUUGCUGAAUACGGGACAGACUUGAAUGGAGGAAAGAAGGGGAGAAAGAAAGAGGGAAAGAGAAACAGCUGAGAAGAGGGACGGGGGAGAAGGGCAAAAGACAAAAACCAACAGAACGGGCAGGAAAAAAAAAGAAAAGAAAAAAAAAUGCAUAUAUCGAUCACCUGGAUCACCUGUUGAGAAAGAAAAAAGAAAACAAGCAGAAGAGAACAAGAGUAAUAGAACAAACAACAUCACAAUGAUAUAUGGGAAUAUGACAGUAAAUACUAAAUAUUAAACAUUAUUGUGCAGCAAUAAUUUAGAAGUGUCUGCCACUUCUAAAAGAGACUGGCAAAGAAAAUAGCCAAGAGGCAGAAAGAAAGUGUGAGUCAGGCAGUCCAGCUCAGCCAGUCACUUAUGUGCACAAAGCCCCAGAAACAGCUCUGGGUGCCAAUAUACUUUCACUGAAUUUGCAACAGGUGACGAAGCUUUCAACAUUAAGGCCUCCUGGCCCACUCAUAACACUGUUGAACCAUUAAAAAAAUAGAUUUAGCAAAAAAAACCCAAAACAAAAUAAAGAUGUACCUUGGGCUCAAUGGUGUUAUUGCAAUGUGUUUCUGCUCUUUGUGUUCUUUGAUUGGUCGAUAAAUUGACUAACAUUGGAAACAGUCAUUUGUUUCUAGCUUUCUGUUCUUAUUUUCUUACUUUGGUGACCCUCCUGUGUUUUUGUUGAACAGAUUUGCCUUUGUGCUGCUACACAGAUGGAGGUCGAUGAUAUCAUGUGCACAGUU
Molecule: long non-coding RNA, 1315 nt
Organism: Astatotilapia calliptera (eastern happy)
Lineage: Eukaryota; Metazoa; Chordata; Actinopteri; Cichliformes; Cichlidae
Source: Ensembl